This 497-nucleotide ribosomal RNA is filed under the name uncultured bacterium. RNAcentral's name for it is "partial 16S ribosomal RNA". It matches the Rfam family "Bacterial small subunit ribosomal RNA", at positions 28 to 507 of the family's 1533-position model. The record is from RNAcentral.
GAUGAACGCUGGCGGCGUGCCUAAUACAUGCAAGUCGAGCGAACGGACGAGAAGCUUGCUUCUCUGAUGUUAGCGGCGGACGGGUGAGUAACACGUGGAUAACCUACCUAUCAGACUGGGAUAACUUCGGGAAACCGGAGCUAAUACCGGAUAAUAUUUUGAACCGCAUGGUUCAAAAGUGAAAGACGGUCUUGCUGUCACUUAUAGCUGGAUCCGCGCUGCUUUAGCUAGUUGGUAAGGUAACGGCUUACCAAGGCAACGAUGCGUAGACGACCUGAGAGGGGGAUCGGCCACCCGGGAACUUGGACACGGUCCAUACGCCUACGGGAGGGAGCAGUAUGGAAUCUGCCGCAAUGGGCGAAAGCCUUACGGAGCAACGCCGCGUGAGAUAUGAAGGUCUUCGGAUCGUAAAACUCGGUUAUUAGGGAAGAACAUAUGUGUAAGGAACUGUGCACAGCUUGACGGUACCUAAUCAGAAAGCCACGGCUAACUACGUG